CCUACGGGAGGCAGCAGUGAGGAAUAUUGGUCAAUGGCCGUAAGGCUGAACCAGCCAAGUCGCGUGAAGGAAGAAGGAUCUAUGGUUUGUAAACUUCUUUUAUAGGGGAAUAAAGGGAGCCACGUGGGGAUAUUUGCAUGUACCCUAUGAAUAAGCAUCGGCUAACUCCGUGCCAGCAGCCGCGGUAAUACGGAGGAGUCGAGCGUUAUCCGGAUGUAUUGGGUGUAAAGGGUGCGUAGGUUGAUUUUUAAGUCAGCGGUGAAAGUUUGUGGCUCAACCAUAAAAUUGCCGUUGAAACUGGCAGCCUUUAGUGUGUUUGAGGUAGGCGGAAUUCGUGGUGUAGCGGU
RNAcentral lists this ribosomal RNA (347 nucleotides) under uncultured bacterium. RNAcentral describes it as "partial 16S ribosomal RNA". It matches the Rfam family "Bacterial small subunit ribosomal RNA", at positions 338 to 682 of the family's 1533-position model. The record is from RNAcentral.